RNAcentral lists this ribosomal RNA (440 nucleotides) under uncultured bacterium. RNAcentral describes it as "partial 16S ribosomal RNA". It matches the Rfam family "Bacterial small subunit ribosomal RNA", at positions 338 to 795 of the family's 1533-position model. The record is from RNAcentral.
CCUACGGGUGGCAGCAGUAGGGAAUAUUGCUCAAUGGGGGAAACCCUGAAGCAGCAACGCCGCGUGGAGGAUGAAGGUUUUCGGAUUGUAAACUCCUUUUGUUAGAGAAGAUAAUGACGGUAUCUAACGAAUAAGCACCGGCUAACUCCGUGCCAGCAGCCGCGGUAAUACGGAGGGUGCAAGCGUUACUCGGAAUCACUGGGCGUAAAGAGCGCGUAGGCGGGAUGGCAAGUCAGAUGUGAAAUCCUAGGGCUUAACCAUAGAACUGCAUUUGAAACUGUGAUUCUAGAGUAUGGGAGAGGGAGGUAGAAUGCUGGGGGUAGGGGUGAAAUCCGUAGAGAUCAAGAGGAAUACACAUUGCGAAGGCGACCUCCUAGAACAAAACUGACGCGGAGGCGCGAAAGCGUGGGGAGCAAACAGGAUUAGAUACCCGAGUAGUC